This 460-nucleotide ribosomal RNA is filed under the name uncultured bacterium. Its description in RNAcentral is "partial 16S ribosomal RNA". It matches the Rfam family "Bacterial small subunit ribosomal RNA", at positions 338 to 795 of the family's 1533-position model. The record is from RNAcentral.
CCUACGGGUGGCUGCAGUGAGGAAUAUUGGUCAAUGGGCGAGAGGCUGAACCAGCCAAGUAGCGUGAAGGAUGACUGCCCUACGGGUUGUAAACCUCUUUUAUAAAGGAAUAAAGUGAGUCACGUGUGCCUUUUUGUAUGUACUUUAUGAAUAAGCAUCGGCUAACUCCGUGCCAGCAGCCGCGGUAAUACGGAGGAUGCGAGCGUUAUCCGGAUUUAUUGGGUUUAAAGGGUGGGGAGGUGGGGUGUGAAGUCAGUUGUUAAAGUUUGCGGGUCAACCGUCAAACUGCAAUUGAUACUGGAAGUCUUGAGUGCAGUUGAGGUAGGCGGAAUGCGUGGUGUAGCGGUGAAAUGCUUAGAUAUCACGAAGAACUCCGAUUGCGAAGGCAGCCUACUAGACUGCAACUGACAUUGAUGCUCGAAAGUGUGGGUAUCAAACAGGAUUAGAUACCCGUGUAGUC